This 253-nucleotide ribosomal RNA is filed under the name uncultured bacterium. Its description in RNAcentral is "partial 16S ribosomal RNA". It matches the Rfam family "Bacterial small subunit ribosomal RNA", at positions 524 to 776 of the family's 1533-position model. The record is from RNAcentral.
UACGGGGGGGGCAAGCGUUGUUCGGAAUUACUGGGCGUAAAGGGCUCGUAGGCGGCCAACUAAGUCAGACGUGAAAUCCCCAGGCUCAACUUGGGAACUGCGUCUGAUACUGGAUGGCUUGAAUUCGGGAGAGGGAUGCAGAAUUCCAGGUGUAGCGGUGAAAUGCGUAGAUAUCUGGAGGAAUACCGGUGGCGAAGGCGGCAUCCUGGACCGAGAUUGACACUGAUGAGCGAAAGCUAGGGGAGCAAACGGG